UACGUAGGGGGCGAGCGUUGUCCGGAUUCAUUGGGCGUAAAGCGCGCGCAGGCGGCGGCGCGAGCCCGGCGUGAAAGCCCCCGGCUCAACCGGGGGAGGUCGUCGGGGACCGCGCGGCUAGAGGCCGGCAGGGGCGAGUGGAAUUCCCGGUGUAGUGGUGGAAUGCGUAGAGAUCGGGAGGAACACCAGUGGCGAAGGCGACUCGCUGGGCCGGUCCUGACGCUCAGGCGCGAAAGCGUGGGGAGCGAUCCGG
Molecule: ribosomal RNA, 253 nt
Filed under: uncultured bacterium
Lineage: Bacteria
Description: partial 16S ribosomal RNA
Rfam family: Bacterial small subunit ribosomal RNA
Source: RNAcentral